CUUAAAUUUAACUUAAUGUUUUUUAGGUCCAUCUUUUGCUGAAGGACAGUCUUCCUUUAGGUUCUUGAGGACCUAGCACUUACGACACCUCUAGAUCUGAUAACAGAGUAGUUAAGGACUUAAUGAGUGAAGGUUAGACUGUAAUAUGCUGAAUGGGAGCAGAUGAGAGAAAGCUGGGCCUGGUGAAUGAAAUUUAGUAAACCAGAAAUGUCUACAUGUCUGAAGACAACGAGUUGAUCCUGGUGGCCUGUCUGCCUUUCAAACAUCAAAUAAAAUUAUAUAAGCUGAGAGACAUUAUACGAGGUGAAGAAGGACUUCAUCUUGAAACACUGCUCUUAUUCCUGCUGAAGAGUUGAAAUCCCCUGUUUCGUUCAGGUGCCACUGAGUGCAGCACCGUAUUCCUGUCCUGAUAAGGGUGCACAAUGGGAUUACCGAGGGAGAGACCAGGAGAAGAAAAACAAUAGUGAGACAAAUACCAUUGGAAGACAUCUGGGAAUAGACACUGGAAGAAGGGAAACGAUUGGAUGGCACUGAUGUUGCCCUCGGGACGAAGGGGAAGGAACUAGGCUCCUGCCAGAGGAAGAGAGAAUCCAGAAUGGGCGCUGGGACAGAGUCUGCAGGGCUGGACUGUGGAUCUUCCUGAUGAGGAGAAUGAAUGGCUGUUACCCUCAGUGGGAAUUACAAGAAAUCCUUAACAAAGAAAGAUGUUCUUUACCCUCAAGAAAGGAAUUCCAAAUGGAAGGAUAACAAUGAGACAACAACAGUUCAUCAGUAAAUAUCUGGAGGCAGCAGUUAACAGCAACUGUGCAUAGGACACACUGCAGACAGACAUCUGAGGACUUUGGACUUGGAUAGCUGAGAAGAGAAAGCGUUAGAAGUUGACUGCAAUGGGACUGAUUCCACAUGAAGGUGCAGAUUUGACCCAGAAAGGUUUGAGUGUGUUUCUGAACAAACUGAAUUAUCUUUUGUGCUUCUCAAACAUGGGUUGCUUAAAAAAGUGCAUAAGUUUAGCUCCAAACCCACAUCUUUGAGUGAAACUAUUUUAUGUUAUUCCUCAAAAAAAUCCCUUCUAUUUUACUUCCAAACAGCAGUGAAGUGUUAAACUCUAAAUAAAAACUGUCUUUAUCCCU
This is a long non-coding RNA of Columba livia (rock pigeon), 1130 nucleotides long. RefSeq lists it as uncharacterized. NCBI's taxonomy places the organism in Eukaryota, Metazoa, Chordata, Aves, Columbiformes, Columbidae. The transcript is spliced from 7 exons. The record is from RefSeq and is a predicted model, not a curated record.